Molecule: ribosomal RNA, 375 nt
Filed under: uncultured bacterium
Lineage: Bacteria
Description: bacterial SSU rRNA
Rfam family: Bacterial small subunit ribosomal RNA
Source: RNAcentral
GACGAACGCUGGCGGCGUGCUUAACACAUGCAAGUCGAGCGGUAAGGCCCUUUCGGGGGUACACGAGCGGCGAACGGGUGAGUAACACGUGGGUGACCUGCCCUCAGCUCUGGGAUAAGCCUGGGAAACUGGGUCUAAUACCGGAUAUGACUCCAUGACGCAUGUUGUGGGGUGGAAAGCCUUGUGCGGCUGAGGAUGGGCCCGCGGCCUAUCAGCUUGUUGGUGGGGUGANGGCCUACCAAGGCGACGACGGGUAGCCGGCCUGAGAGGGCGACCGGCCACACUGGGACUGAGACACGGCCCAGACUCCUACGGGAGGCAGCAGUGGGGAAUCUUGCGCAAUGGGCGAAAGCCUGACGCAGCGACGCCGCGUGA